Penaeus indicus is the source of this 2144-nucleotide RNA transcript. RefSeq lists it as uncharacterized. The record is from RefSeq and is a predicted model, not a curated record. Lineage: Eukaryota; Metazoa; Arthropoda; Malacostraca; Decapoda; Penaeidae. The transcript is spliced from 7 exons.
UCUCUCUCUCUCUCUCUCUCUCUCUCUCUCUCUCUCUCUCUCUCUCUCUCUCUCUCUCUCUCUCUCUCUCUCUCUCUCUCUCUCUCUCCAGUGCCACCCGUUUAGUUGAACCCACUUCUAUCUUUCUCUCCCGGCUGUCCCUCGUAUUGAAAUACUCCAUUUUAAUGCGCUGUAUCAGUCCGGUUGGCGCGUACUGCUGGUGCUUUGUUAGAAAAAUUAAAACGCCACGGGAAGAGCAGCAACACGCUUAAUUUAGUUUCCGCUAAACGGCGGUGGGCUGCGGCCGGUCAGUGGCCCCGGGAGGAGAGUCUGGGGUGGUGGAGCAGCAGACAGAGUGACGUCACGGCAGCUUCGCCCUGCCGCCAACAGAUGGCACCACCUGCCGCACACCCUACUCAUGACGCGAACAUUUAUCGCCCUCUGAACUUUUUUUUGUUUGCGGUUUUAAAAAAGGCCUUAAAAUUCCUGUUAGAGGGAGUCUUCGGCAAAUAUAAAAAAAUAAAUAAAAAAUAUAAACAAUAAUAGGCUCUCGAUAUCUUAUGUAGCUAGGAUGCUCAAGGUGUAUCUCCGACUCAGGCAUGGCAGUUCAUGACGCGAUGCUUAGGGAGGCUGAGUGCGUGGAGAUAUCAUGAAAACUUUAUCGCUUUAUAUAGAGCUUAAUCAGUUGCGGGAGUGAAAUGCGGGUGUGGAUGUAGGCAUAGAAAGCUCUAAAGUCUAAUGCUAGUGUAAAACCCCCGAGAUGAGAGGUGUGGGGGCGAAAAUGCAGGAAAGAAACGCCUGCAUGACAGUGCAUGGUGACAAAGAGAUGCCCAGGCGGGGGCCCUUACGACGAGAGGCGAGAGAUGCAGCAGCAGCAGCAGCAUCCGUCCGUCUCGACAUAGAAAUGAAUAAAAGAUACAGUAGCGGCUUCCAAACCCCUGGAAUUUGUCAGCCGAGCCAGGCCGUCGCGAGCAAUCAAGAUGGAGUGCAACAAGGAGAGGUAAAUCAUGCAAGACGGUAGCAGAGCCUAAAGCAGUUGAGUCCUAUAGCCGCGGACGGAGCCCAGGAGUGCCAGCUGAGUUACACGCGGAGAACAGUGCCAGGCAUCAUAGGAAGGUCAUUAGGCAGGCUGAAUCAGGGCAUCUUCCUUCUCCUGAGACGCGCGGCAGAUGAAAGAUCUCCCGAAGGCAAGGAGGCUUGAGGAGUCUUGUCAGCUGAGCCUCUUCAUCAGGGGGAGAUCACGAGCAUCCAUCUGGAAGCAGCCUCCAGCAUCCAUAUUGGGCUAGUCGUUUCCAGAGCUGUCCCGACGCCGCGCUCGUAGAUCAAGUGCCGAUGCUGAUAUUCUGGUCCUCUGAUGCCCAUUCCUUAGGAGCCUUCGCCCAGGUCAGUCGCAUCUUCCACAUGGUCACGAUAGCGUAUACAUGAAAGGCAAAUGUAUUCAUUCUCCAACACAACUACAGUAAAAACGGUAUAAAAACGUCCGGCAGAGCAGCCUGUGUAUCACCCGCCCGGAUGAAGGGGGUGGGAGGGGAGGUGGCGGCGGGUCAUGGGUGGGGUAGGGGUAGGUGUGGGGGGAGGGGGGGGGGAGUCUGACAUGCGGCAACAAAGCACUGGGACGGAUAUGCUCGUAGCCCGGAUGCCUGCUACAAGCGGCCCAGGCUAGUCGUAAUUGUCCUCCCCCCCUUCCCCCUCCCUUCCCCCUUCCCCUCACUCUUCCCCCACCGCCCCGCAGCACACCCCACGCCCACCAUGCUUAACCGCGGCACCUGGAACACGUGACGGCGGAUGCGGCAGGCUGCGGCAGGCUGCGGCUGGCAUGCAAAGGAUGACAUAGCAACGGCAGAGCCCUCUCACAGCUGGUCCGAUUCUACGUUCUCAAUGCUGGGAUGACGGAUUCUUCUGCGUAAAAAAAAGGCUAACAGUGUGCCCUUCACGCCCACGCCCUUGUCAUCUGCGGAGAAAAAGUUGCGGGAGAUCGACUAUACUAUUUCUCUUUUAUUGUUUUAAUAUAUAAGUAAUUUCUUUAUAAGGUGUAUUUUCCGAAAGAAAGUUUUAAUCUAUUUUGUGUUCUCUGGUUCAUAGCCCGUUUUUUGGUUCUGUUUGUUUGUAUUUUUGUUUUUUUUGUGUGAAAAAACAUGUAAAAUGAAAUGUGGAUGAAUAAAUUC